GGCAAUGACAUGGGGUGCCUCGUGAGUAUGAAGCGAGGCUGAGACAACACCCAUCGAACCUGAUCUGGGCCAUACUAGCGAAGGGAUCGUCAUGGUUGACUUCG
This is a non-coding RNA of 104 nucleotides. It matches the Rfam family "TPP riboswitch aptamer (THI element)". Rfam says of the family: Vitamin B(1) in its active form thiamin pyrophosphate (TPP) is an essential coenzyme that is synthesised by coupling of pyrimidine and thiazole moieties in bacteria. The previously detected thiamin-regulatory element, thi box was extended, resulting in a new, highly conserved RNA secondary structure, the THI element, which is widely distributed in eubacteria and also occurs in some archaea.